GUGGCUCAUUCACCUUCUUAUGUCAGCCCCUUCGGGACGCGCUACAUAAACUUCGAAUGACGCACAAACAGGUGCCUGCCGUCCAACUCCUGAUAAUAGCCUGGCUUUAUCAGACAUCGGGCGAAACGUCGAGUAAGGCACCGCCUCAUUCCUGAACAAAGCCAGGCCUUGCGCCUGGCUUUGUUGU
RNAcentral lists this unclassified non-coding RNA (187 nucleotides) under Klebsiella variicola. Its description in RNAcentral is "GlmZ RNA activator of glmS mRNA". The stretch from base 1 to 147 matches the Rfam family "Glm Y RNA activator of glmS mRNA". Rfam says of the family: This family consists of a number of bacterial RNA genes of around 167 bases in length. Lineage: Bacteria; Pseudomonadati; Pseudomonadota; Gammaproteobacteria; Enterobacterales; Enterobacteriaceae. The record is from RNAcentral. RNAcentral also lists the same sequence under 3 other names.